CCUACGGGAGGCAGCAGUGAGGAAUAUUGGUCAAUGGACGAGAGUCUGAACCAGCCAAGUAGCGUGAAGGAUGACUGCCCUAUGGGUUGUAAACUUCUUUUAUAUGGGAAUAAAAUGUUCCACGUGUGGGAUUUUGUAUGUACCAUAUGAAUAAGGAUCGGCUAACUCCGUGCCAGCAGCCGCGGUAAUACGGAGGAUCCGAGCGUUAUCCGGAUUUAUUGGGUUUAAGGGGAGCGUAGGUGGAUUGUUAAGUCAGUUGUGAAAGUUUGCGGCUCAACCGUAAAAUUGCAGUUGAAACUGGCAGUCGUGAGUACAGUAGAGGUAGGCGGAAUUCGUGGUGUAGCGGUGAAAUGCUUAGAUAUCACGAAGAACUCCGAUUGCGAAGGCAGCUCACUGGACUGCAACUGACACUGAGGCUCGAAAGUGUGGGUAUCAAACAGGAUUAGAUACCCUAGUAGUC
This 460-nucleotide ribosomal RNA is filed under the name uncultured bacterium. RNAcentral's name for it is "partial 16S ribosomal RNA". It matches the Rfam family "Bacterial small subunit ribosomal RNA", at positions 338 to 795 of the family's 1533-position model. The record is from RNAcentral.